GGAAACGGUAGCUAAUACCGCAUAACGUCGCAAGACCAAAGAGGGGGACCUUCGGGCCUCUUGCCAUCGGAUGUGCCCAGAUGGGAUUAGCUAGUAGGUGGGGUAACGGCUCACCUAGGCGACGAUCCCUAGCUGGUCUGAGAGGAUGACCAGCCACACUGGAACUGAGACACGGUCCAGACUCCUACGGGAGGCAGCAGUGGGGAAUAUUGCACAAUGGGCGCAAGCCUGAUGCAGCCAUGCCGCGUGUAUGAAGAAGGCCUUCGGGUUGUAAAGUACUUUCAGCGGGGAGGAAGGGAGUAAAGUUAAUACCUUUGCUCAUUGACGUUACCCGCAGAAGAAGCACCGGCUAACUCCGUGCCAGCAGCCGCGGUAAUACGGGGGGUGCAAGCGUUAAUCGGAAUUACUGGGCGUAAAGCGCACGCAGGCGGUUUGUUAAGUCAGAUGUGAAAUCCCCGGGCUCAACCUGGGAACUGCAUCUGAUACUGGCAAGCUUGAGUCUCGUAGAGGGGGGUAGAAUUCCAGGUGUAGCGGUGAAAUGCGUAGAGAUCUGGAGGAAUACCGGUGGCGAAGGCGGCCCCCUGGACGAAGACUGACGCUCAGGUGCGAAAGCGUGGGGAGCAAACAGGAUUAGAUACCCUGGUAGUCCACGCCGUAAACGAU
This 663-nucleotide ribosomal RNA is filed under the name uncultured bacterium. Its description in RNAcentral is "bacterial SSU rRNA". It matches the Rfam family "Bacterial small subunit ribosomal RNA", at positions 152 to 810 of the family's 1533-position model. The record is from RNAcentral.